RNAcentral lists this non-coding RNA (179 nucleotides) under Geosporobacter subterraneus. Lineage: Bacteria; Bacillati; Bacillota; Clostridia; Peptostreptococcales; Thermotaleaceae. The record is from RNAcentral.
UGAAAGAAUAUGAUAAUAGGUCCCGCAUCGGGUUAAUAGGGAAGUACGGUGUAAAACCGUCACAGCCCCCGCUACUGUAAGUGAUGACGAAACCUCAUAAAGCCACUGGAUCAACGGGAAGGCGAGAGAGAGUAGGGUGAUUCACGAGUCAGGAGACCUGCCUAUUAUUUGCUGUUACU